Molecule: ribosomal RNA, 468 nt
Filed under: uncultured bacterium
Lineage: Bacteria
Description: partial 16S ribosomal RNA
Rfam family: Bacterial small subunit ribosomal RNA
Source: RNAcentral
GACGAACGCUGGCGGCGUGCUUAACACAUGCAAGUCGAACGGAAAGGCCCUGCUUUUGUGGGGUGCUCGAGUGGCGAACGGGUGAGUAACACGUGAGUAACCUGCCCUUGACUUUGGGAUAACUUCAGGAAACUGGGGCUAAUACCGGAUAGGAGCUCCUGCGGCAUGGUGGGGGUUGGAAAGUUUCGGCGGUUGGGGAUGGACUCGCGGCUUAUCAGCUUGUUGGUGGGGUAGUGGCUUACCAAGGCUUUGACGGGUAGCCGGCCUGAGAGGGUGACCGGCCACAUUGGGACUGAGAUACGGCCCAGACUCCUACGGGAGGCAGCAGUGGGGAAUAUUGCACGAUGGGCGGAAGCCUGAUGCAGCAACGCCGCGUGCGGGAUGACGGCCUUCGGGUUGUAAACCGCUUUCGCCUGUGACGAAGCGUGAGUGACGGUAAUGGGUAAAGAAGCACCGGCUAACUACGUG